This 252-nucleotide ribosomal RNA is filed under the name uncultured Bacteroidales bacterium. RNAcentral's name for it is "partial 16S ribosomal RNA". It matches the Rfam family "Bacterial small subunit ribosomal RNA", at positions 524 to 776 of the family's 1533-position model. Lineage: Bacteria; Pseudomonadati; Bacteroidota; Bacteroidia; Bacteroidales. The record is from RNAcentral.
UACGGAGGAUGCGAGCGUUAUCCGGAUUUAUUGGGUUUAAAGGGUGCGCAGGCGGAAUGUCAAGUCAGCGGUAAAAUUUCGGGGCUCAACCCCGUCGUGCCGUUGAAACUGAUGUUCUUGAGUGGGCGAGAAGUAUGCGGAAUGCGUGGUGUAGCGGUGAAAUGCAUAGAUAUCACGCAGAACUCCGAUUGCGGAGGCAGCGUACCGGCGCCAGACUGACGCUGAGGCACGAAAGCGUGGGGAGCAAAUAGG